This 84-nucleotide microRNA precursor is filed under the name Bombyx mori (domestic silkworm). Its description in RNAcentral is "mir-2807 microRNA precursor family". It matches the Rfam family "mir-2807 microRNA precursor family". The record is from Rfam by way of RNAcentral. Lineage: Eukaryota; Metazoa; Arthropoda; Insecta; Lepidoptera; Bombycidae.
UCAACUCAAAUUUGUAUGGAGUUGGAACAGGUGCCUCCGUUUGCCGCUAGGGGCGCUGUUCUAACUGCAUACAAAUUUGAUUUA